This 270-nucleotide ribosomal RNA is filed under the name uncultured Ascomycota. Its description in RNAcentral is "partial 18S ribosomal RNA". It matches the Rfam family "Eukaryotic small subunit ribosomal RNA", at positions 548 to 822 of the family's 1831-position model. The record is from RNAcentral. Lineage: Eukaryota; Fungi; Ascomycota.
UUGGAGGGCAAGUCUGGUGCCAGCAGCCGCGGUAAUUCCAGCUCCAAUAGCGUAUAUUAAAGUUGUUGUGGUUAAAAAGCUCGUAGUAGAAGCUCGGGCUCCGGCCGACUGGUCCGCCUCACCGCGUGCACUGGUUCGACCGGGCCUUCACCUUCUGCGGAACCGCAUCUCCUUCACUGGGGGUGUCGGGGAAACAGGACGUUUACUGUGAAAAAAUUAGAGUGCUCCAGGCAGGCCUAUGCUCGAAUAGAUUAGCAUGGAAUAAUGGAA